Molecule: ribosomal RNA, 1391 nt
Filed under: uncultured bacterium
Lineage: Bacteria
Description: bacterial SSU rRNA
Rfam family: Bacterial small subunit ribosomal RNA
Source: RNAcentral
AGAGUUUGAUCCUGGCUCAGGAUGAACGCUGGCGGCGUGCUUAUCACAUGCAAGUCGAGCGAAGCACUUAUGAAGAUUCUUCGUGAUGAUUCAUUUGUGACUGAGCGGCGGACGGGUGAGUAACGCGUGAGUAACCUGCCUCAUACAGGGGAAUAACAGUUAGAAAUGACUGCUAAUGCCGCAUAAGCGCACAGGACCGCAUGGUCCGGUGUGAAAAACUCCGGUGGUAUGAGAUGGACUCGCGUCUGAUUAGCUGGUUGGUGAGGUAACGGCCCACCAAGGCGACGAUCAGUAUCCGGCCUGAGAGGGUGAACGGCCACAUUGGGACUGAGACACGGCCCAAACUCCUACGGGAGGCAGCAGUGGGGAAUAUUGCACAAUGGGGGAAACCCUGAUGCAGCGACGCCGCGUGAGUGAAGAAGUAUUUCGGUAUGUAAAGCUCUAUCAGCAGGGAAGAAAAUGACGGUACCUGACUAAGAAGCCCCGGCUAACUACGUGCCAGCAGCCGCGGUAAUACGUAGGGGGCAAGCGUCAUCCGGAUUUACUGGGUGUGAAGGGAGCGUACACGGCUUAGCAUGUCUGACGUGACGAUCCGGGGCUCAACGCCGGAACUGCGUUGGAAACUGUGAGGCUUGAGUGCCGGAGAGGCUAUCGGAAUCCUAGUGUAGCGGUGACAUGCGUAUAUCUCACGAGGAACACCAGUGGCGAAGGCGGCUUACUGGACGGCAACUGACGUUGAGGCUCGAAAGCGUGGGGAGCAAACAGGAUUAGAUACNCUGGUAGUCCACGCGGUAAACGAUGAAUACUAGGUGUUGGGGGACAAAGUCCUCCGGUGCCGCCGCAAACGCAUUAAGUAUUCCACCUGGGGAGUACGUUCGCAAGAAUGAAACUCAAAGGAAUUGACGGGGACCCGCACAAGCGGUGGAGCAUGUGGUUUAAUUCGAAGCAACGCGAAGAACCUUACCAAGUCUUGACAUCGAUCUGAAUGGGGAGUAAUGUUCCCAGUCUCUUCGGAGACAGAGAAGACAGGUGGUGCAUGGUUGUCGUCAGCUCGUGUCGUGAGAUGUUGGGUUAAGUCCCGCAACGAGCGCAACCCUUAUCUUCAGUAGCCAGCAAGUGAAGUUGGGCACUCUGGAGAGACUGCCAGGGACAACCUGGAGGAAGGUGGGGAUGACGUCAAAUCAUCAUGCCCCUUAUGACUUGGGCUACACACGUGCUACAAUGGCGUAAACAAAGGGAGGCAGCCCUGUGAAGGUGAGCAAAUCCCAAAAAUAACGUCUCAGUUCGGAUUGUAGUCUGCAACUCGACUACAUGAAGCUGGAGUCGCUAGUAAUCGCGAAUCAGAAUGUCGCGGUGAAUACGUUCCCGGGUGCUUGUACACACCGCCCGUC